This 413-nucleotide ribosomal RNA is filed under the name uncultured bacterium. RNAcentral describes it as "bacterial SSU rRNA". It matches the Rfam family "Bacterial small subunit ribosomal RNA", at positions 399 to 786 of the family's 1533-position model. The record is from RNAcentral.
ACGUGAGUGAUGAAGGUUUCGGAUCGUAAAUUUCUGUUGUAAGGGAAGAACAAGUGUCAUAGUAACUGAUGGCACCUUGACGGUACCCUUUAAAAACCCAGAAAAAAGGCCCACGUGACUUAAACUUACCGAUGCCAGCAGCCGCGGUAAUACGUAGGUGGCAAGCGUAGUCCGGAAUUAUUGGGCGUACAGCGCUCGCAGGCGGAUCUUUAAGUCUGAUGUGAAAUCUUACGGCUUAACCGUAAACGUGCAUUGGAAACUGGGGAACUUGAGUGCAGAAGAGGAGAGUGGAAUUCCACGUGUAGCGGUGAAAUGCGUAGAGAUGUGGAGGAACACCAGUGGCGAAGGCGACUCUCUGGUCUGUAACUGACGCUGAAGAGCGAAAGCGUGGGGAGCGAACAGGAUUAGAUACC